RNAcentral lists this ribosomal RNA (469 nucleotides) under uncultured bacterium. RNAcentral describes it as "partial 16S ribosomal RNA". It matches the Rfam family "Bacterial small subunit ribosomal RNA", at positions 28 to 507 of the family's 1533-position model. The record is from RNAcentral.
GACGAACGCUGGCGGCGUGCUUAACACAUGCAAGUCGAACGAGGUCCAUGCAGUCGCAAGACUGCGGAAGAUCUAGUGGCGAACGGGUGCGUAACACGUGAGAAACCUGUCCCGGUCUCUGGAAUAACAAGUGGAAACACUUGCUAAUACCGGAUGCCGUCGGACCAUCGCAUGAUGGACUGACGAAAGGGCUACCGGAUCGGGAGGGUCUCGCGGCCUAUCAGCUUGUUGGUGAGGUAACGGCUCACCAAGGCAUCGACGGGUAGCUGGUCUGAGAGGAUGAUCAGCCACACUGGGACUGAGACACGGCCCAGACUCCUACGGGAGGCAGCAGUGGGAAAUCUUGCACAAUGGGCGAAAGCCUGAUGCAGCAACGCCGCGUGCGGGAAGAAGGCCCUAGGGUUGUAAACCGCUUUCAGCAGGGAAGAAACUGACGGUACCUGUAGAAGAAGGUGCGGCCAACUACGUG